Molecule: ribosomal RNA, 431 nt
Filed under: uncultured bacterium
Lineage: Bacteria
Description: partial 16S ribosomal RNA
Rfam family: Bacterial small subunit ribosomal RNA
Source: RNAcentral
AACGAACGCUGGCGGCAGGCCUAACACAUGCAAGUCGAGCGCCCUCUCGGGGGAGCGGCGGACGGGUGAGUAACGCGUGGGAAUAUGCCCUUCUCUACGUAAUAGCCUCGGGAAACUGAGAGUAAUACCGUAUACGCCCUGUGGGGGAAAGAUUUAUCGGGGAAGGAUUAGCCCGCGUUGGAUUAGGUAGUUGGUGGGGUAAUGGCGUACCAAGCGGACGAUCCAUAGCUGGUGUGAGAGGAUGAUCAGCCACACGGGGACUGGGACACGGCCCAGACUCCUACGCGAGGCAGCCGUGGGGAAUCUUAGAAAAUCGGGGCAAUCCUGAUCUAGCCAUGCCGCGUGAGUGAUGAAGGCCUUAGGGUUGUAAAGCUCUUUCAGCUGGGAAGAUAAUGACGGUACCAGAAGAAGAAGCCCCGGCUAACUCCGUG